UACAGAGGGGGCAAGCGUUGUUCGGAAUUACUGCGCGUAAAGGGCGCGUAGGCGGCCUGCUAAGUCGAACGUGAAAUCCCCGAGCUCAACUCGGGAACUGCGUCCGAUACUGGCAGGCUUGAAUCCGGGAGAGGGAUGCGGAAUUCCUGGUGUAGCGGUGAAAUGCGCAGAUAUCAGGAGGAACACCGGUGGCGAAGGCGGUUCUCUGGGCAUUACCUGACGCUGAGGAGCGAAAGUGUGGGGAGCGAACAGG
This 253-nucleotide ribosomal RNA is filed under the name uncultured bacterium. RNAcentral's name for it is "partial 16S ribosomal RNA". It matches the Rfam family "Bacterial small subunit ribosomal RNA", at positions 524 to 776 of the family's 1533-position model. The record is from RNAcentral.